Molecule: long non-coding RNA, 323 nt
Filed under: Struthio camelus australis
Lineage: Eukaryota; Metazoa; Chordata; Aves; Struthioniformes; Struthionidae
Description: lncRNA (ENSSCUG00000014660.1)
Source: RNAcentral
GAUUAAUGGGAGUUGCAGACCGCUAUACUUAGACCUUUGAGAAUGAUCACGUUUUCUUGUUGCUUCUAGAAUGAGCCACAGAAUCAGAACUGUAUUUCCAGCGAGAAGAACAGAGGCAUAAAAAACAAUAAGUUUGGCCACCCGAAGAGAAAAAAAGAAGGCGUGCACAGCUCAAGCGCAUCAAUUAACUGAAGGCAUCCACAUUCAGCUACAAGAUAAUUCUGGCUGGUCCCUUAGGAGGUACUGAUUGUGGUUACUAGAUGAAGGGAAUUUUUAAAGCUAAUAGUAUUUCAUUUUUUUAUCUGCUCUCUUAAGUUUUUGAC